Molecule: non-coding RNA, 1110 nt
Organism: Nicotiana tabacum (common tobacco)
Lineage: Eukaryota; Viridiplantae; Streptophyta; Magnoliopsida; Solanales; Solanaceae
Source: RefSeq, a predicted model, not a curated record
UCUAUUUCGAAUCACGAUUUUCAUUCUAGAAAUCGUUCAUUUUGCUUGUAGAUCACUCAAUUUGACAUGGUAUCAGAGCAAAUCCUGGAUAUCUGCAUCGUCCUCUCCACAGUCAACGGUGAUUUUUUUUUCCGGUGGUCGUUUCAUUUCAUCUUUCGGCGGUCUCCGGUGAUCGGCGUUUUCAUUCAUUCUCCCACUACAAAAAAACGGGUAAAUUACGGAGGUUUAUUUGCGGAGGGUAUAAGUAACCUCCGCAAUUUGCAUAAUUUUGCGGUAAUAUAUUAGCCCCACAAAAUUAUACAAUUUACGGGGGUCUAAAACAUCCGCAACCCUAAAAUAAUAGCGGGUCAUUUAUUUCACGCUCCCUCCAUUUUUUCCCAAUCUUUUUCGCCCAAGAAACUUCGGCCUCACAACAAAAAAAUACUCCUUUCCUUCUUCUUCUUAAUCGAAGUUCUCCGCUUAAUGGUUUUACACAUCCAUUAAUCGAAGUUCUUCGCUUCUUCUUCUUCUUCUUCUUCUUCUUCUUCUUCUUCUUCUUCUUCUAACUUCUCUUUUCCUCUUCAAUCGCCACCGCUUUUACACCUCCCAGGAAAAAAAUGAGCUAGUAGUGAGUGAAAGUACAGUGGAUGAGUCUGAAAUUUCUCCAAAUGAUGUUGUUGGUAAGGUGAUAGGCAAAGAACAUCCUGGAAGGGUGAGAUGUUUGGGAUUAGGAGCUACUCCAAGCAAUACUUUCAGAGAGACAAAUCUUCAUCUUGGUAAUAUUAGAAUUAUGAGUAAUAAUGUUGGAUGUUCUUCUUAUGGAUGCCAAGAGAAGUACAAUCAAUUGAUGAAUACUCUCAAAGCAUACAUGAUAAUGAAGGAAGGGUCAAUACCAGAAUAAUUUGCUGGGAUCUUUGCUUCUCCUCCUACAACGCCAAGUGAUGCAGCUAGUAGACCCGUUUCACCGACGGAUGCAAGACGAUCUUCUGGUGCUAGUAAUCCCAGUGACAACCAUUGAGAUUCAUUUUAAUUGAAGUGAAUGUAUUAUGACAAUGCAAUAGAUGACUAAUAUAGAUGGUUAACUAUGUUCUAAUUUAGCUUGAUGACAUAUGAUACUACUCUGUCAUAGUA